Molecule: microRNA precursor, 64 nt
Filed under: Oreochromis niloticus (Nile tilapia)
Lineage: Eukaryota; Metazoa; Chordata; Actinopteri; Cichliformes; Cichlidae
Also listed under: 4 other names
Description: microRNA oni-mir-182 precursor
Gene: oni-mir-182
Rfam family: mir-182 microRNA precursor family
Source: miRBase by way of RNAcentral
UUUGGCAAUGGUAGAACUCACACUGGUGAGGUAGAUGGAUCCGGUGGUUCUAGACUUGCCAACU